AAGCUGUGAGACGACGGAGUGAAGAGUGAAGGCGAUUGCGAGGGGCUGAGGGAAUUGUCCUCUGUGCAAGGGACUUUCAUUAGUCCCCAGGCCCCUGCCUGCUCCUGCCGUCAGCAGGUUAGUAAGCAAGACGAGCAUGGGGGUGGCAACAGUCGAGAUGUCCUUCCCCCUUUGAAGAUCAUCCUUCUUUUGCUGCUGCUGUUAUUGGUUUGUCUUGGUUUAAGGCCCACUGAAUGGGGGCGCCUCACUUCCGGUUGGGGGAAGGGAGACAUGCUGUCAUAGGGGAGGGGGAACUGUAACUCACUUCCUGUGGGGGUAGGAUGAUGUUUGGGGGGUGUCCAAGCCACUUCCCGUGUUGAUGAGAGCCAGAAAAGGUGUUGGUUUGUGCCAUUCUCAGAGAGAGUUCCUACAGCCUUGGGGUUGUAUUUUCACGUCACAAGUUCGGUUAUUUCCCCAAAUUAUGAUAAUCACCAGGCCACGAUCAGAAUUUAUGUAUUUUGUUUCUGUGUGUAAAUUGGAAAAUCUCUCCCCAGCAAGAUUGUCUUAAUGCUGUCUCCAAAGAAUUUUAAACACCUUGUUAAAAUUCUCUGCAAGAUUACAUACUUUGUUAUGUGACUUGUGAAUUGCCCACCCUUGCACCCAAGUCAAGCUUGUCCUUAACUGAGUGAAGUAGUGUAGGCUCUACCUAGACACGGAACAGGAGCUCCUUAGCCGCUCUUUUAAGGAGGUAGUUUAUAAGUUAGAGUACCGAAUAGUUCACACAAAUUACAGGGCAUUUUCAUGUUUGCAGAGGGAGAGAGUGUCAUGCUGCAGUACUCCGAUUUGAUGUUACCGUAAUAAAGGGCACUAAUGUGUUACAUACUUAGAACUGUUCCUUUAGGACUUAAGGAUUCACCUCAUGCUGGAGAAGACAUCAUCCACUUUAGUGUUGUUUUCAUGUAGCUUUCUUGGGAUGUUUAUGAAAGAUGCAUUUUAUGGUGUCUCCCCGUUUGUAAUUUGAGUUUGUUACUGAUUGAAAAAUGAGGUCUAUUUAUGGUUUUAAAACCUGGCCAAAGGAUGGCAAGUUCAGUGACGUACUGAGUGAGAGGAAAAUGUCUCGGGAAGAACUAAAGAUGAGGCAGACAGAACUUUCUGGUUUUCUAUAUUCUGCUUAAAACACACACACACAAACAAAUAAGAAACUAUAUCUGAAGUAAUAAGCAACUAUUUUGAUUCCUUGCAACACAGUAUACAAGUGUAUGUUUGUUGGCAGAAUCAGUGUAUUUGGAAUGGUUUUUUAAAAACUUUGGCUAUCAGGUGAACCUAAAAUUGCAUUGUCUUCCAAUAUUAAGGUGCAUGUAUUUCUAAUUUCAUAGUUUGCACUUACAAUAGAAAAUAUUUUAAACUAAAUGUGAAAAUAAAAAUACUUUAACCUUAACAUGAACAUUAAAAAAAUAUUCUUGGUCAUUCUAGAAACACCAGGACUGGCACACAUAUGUGCUCACAGAGACUGUAGCAGCAGGCACAGAGCUGCACAGGUCUACACCACAUGGAGUCCUAGAGCAGAAAAGAGAGGUAGACACAUGUGCCCAUCCCUAACCCAGAAGCUAUCUCCAAUUUAUAGCCAUUUACAAAUGAAAAAUUACUUUUCUCCAAAGUAGUCUCACUGAAGAAACGCUCUUAAGGGUAGGCCCCAUGGCCAUCACAAUAUGAACUCAGCAAAUCUUUGGAGGUUCCAUGUAUUUUUUUCUUUAACCUUAUGUUUUUUGUGUAAAUGUUAUGGCUUCCAAUUUGGGUUUAGGGUGUGUCUCUGCAUCUAUGAGUUUUGUGUGCUUUUUCUUUGGCUCUUUUUCUUGUUUGUUUUGCCCUAUUCUGAUAGUGUGUUUUAUUGUAUUUUUUCCUUGGAUGCCUGUUUGUUUUCUAAUAGAGACAGAAAGGGGGUGAGUUCAGAUGGGAAGCGUCAGGAGUGGGGAAGCUAAUCAAAAUAUGUUGUAUGAACAAAAUCUAUUUUCAAUUAACAGGAAAGAAUUAUUUUUAGGCUGGAAGUAUAGCUAAGUGGUAGAGCACUUGUCUACUGUAUGUAAUAUGAGCCUCUGGAUUUGGGGUUUGAUCACCAGUACUAACAGGAAAAAAAACAAAAACAAAAACAACCCAACCUGUCUAAUUUUGGUGGUGCACGCCCUUAAUCCCAGCACUCAGGAGGCAGAAGCAGGCGAAUCUCAGUGAGGUCCAGGCAACCUAGUUUACAUAGCGAGUUCCAGGCCAGCCAGAGGAACACAAUGAGACCUUAUCUCAAAAAUAAAUGACAUAUCAGUCUGGUCGGCUUGGAAUGGCGCUGAGUGCUAGAGCACCACCUGCCUCCUAUGUAGGGGCUUCCAUUUCAGCCCCAACACCACCACCAUCACCAAAAAUAACAUUUCUGAGGUGCUAAAAUCAGUAUUUGAAAGGCUACAAAAUUGCUGCAGUAGUUAAUUUUAAAAAGACAAGAAAAAUAUUGUCUAUGGUUAUUCAUAGAGGUUAGGGACAUGUACACUGCACCCAGUGGCUGUGAACUGACAAGGAAGUGAGUGUGCAGUAUCUUCUCCAUGAAUGCACAAGGCUAGAUAGAGUCACCCUGAACAGUUAACGCUAGUGUUAGGAAUUGGAACAGGGAGGGACUAAUCGAGAAAGUGAGAAAAUAACGUCUUAAUGUUGGUUGCGAUUCAGUAGUACUGCCUUCUGGGAACAGUUUUGGAAAGCAAAGGAGUUUAUGAAAUUGAUCCUGAAGAUAUUCUGUGGGAGGCAUGCAAGGUAAUAGAAAUAAGACAAAUUGCUGUGGCAAGGUAUGUGCAGCUUGAAGAACUGUCUGUGGAGAAGAAAGCAAUAUAGAAAGUACCUAUCAGGAAGAUGCUUUGUGCUAAGUGACGGUUAUUCAUUGGUCCCAUCAAAGAAGAAUUAUUAGGUACGCUGCUGAAAAAUAGAGAAAGGAAGCCUACGUGGCCUAUUCCUCCUCCUCUUUAAAGAAUGUUUCUGUGGAAGGGCUUAUCUCCUCCCAAGGGAUUUUCCCAUAAUGCCCCUUUGUUGCUUUUUAAAAAUCUAUCCCUAGUGUCAAAAUUAGGAAAAGAAAAGCCAUUUGCAAACAUACUGUUACUUCUAUGAUAGAGAAGUCGUUGAUUAGAGUAUUUUGAUUAAGUAACUAUUUUCUUUUCCUUAAAGCAGGCAUGGCAUACACUGCUCAGAGCAGUUUGAAACAUUAAGACAGUAAGCCAGAAUCCUGGAGCCCAUCUCAUUGGAAUUUGAUUAUCUGCACAGAUGCUACAUAGCUCAAAAGUCUCUCCACAUCCUUUUGUUUACCCUGUCCUGUAAAGCUAACGCUAGUGUGUUAUAACCUGGGCUAUAACCUGCGGCUUCACUUGGUACCUCCGUGGUGGUGGUUUUGGUUUCUGCUUUGUAGCUGAGGGCUAAAAGGAGCAGUCGAGCAGCUUAAAUGAUUGUACCUAUUUCUUUGCUGUCUUUUAUUUCUGUACUUUCAUAUGUAUUUAAAUGAAAAUUUAGCUUACAUGGUUUUUCAUUAUUUCAACAAACACUGAAUCCUGCUAUGUAUCAGUCACGAUCUCACUUCAAGAACAGAAAUUACAAAUACCCUUUUUCUCUUGGGGCUUACUUCCUAGCUGAUAGAUCAAAGCUAGAAUUUUGCUUGCUUGGUGUUUUGGAAUGAGAUGUUAUCAGCACUAUUCAAGCUGGACUAAGAUGCAUCCCUAAGUUUGCUAUCUCUUGAUUUCUAAGCCAUUGUAGAACUUGUUUUGAAUAUUUCCUUUACUGUUACAUGCUUCACAGUCUCACUGCUUAACUUGCCUUGUACCGUGUUUGAGUGAAUAACGGCAGGGAAAACUGGAGCUCCGAAAGGCCUAGACUCAAAGCUAGACUUUGUGUUUCAUUGGCUUCAUCAGCUUGAGCAGUUAGCUUCUGUGCGCCUCUCUGCUCUGACUGUGACUCCUUGGUCAAAGGGGGAAUUACAUGGGAAUCACUUGGUGUAGUCCUGGGGUUGGAGCUUAAUGAACGUUAUUGUUUAACCCCAGGCUUGCCUCAACUAUGCAGGCUGCUGGGAUCCACCUCUUUUGAGCCACACAGAAUAUUGUAGUAGAUUCAUUGACAUCCUGCCGUCUGUCUUCUGUCAGCAUGCUAAGUAGUCAGAAUUGUGUUUGUUUCUUGUG
RNAcentral lists this long non-coding RNA (4172 nucleotides) under Mus musculus (house mouse). RNAcentral describes it as "long non-coding RNA chr9:56418814-56422986". The record is from RNAcentral. Lineage: Eukaryota; Metazoa; Chordata; Mammalia; Rodentia; Muridae.